GACGAACGCUGGCGGCGUGCUUAACACAUGCAAGUCGAGCGGUAAGGCCCUUUCGGGGGUACACGAGCGGCGAACGGGUGAGUAACACGUGGGUGACCUGCCCUUAGCUCUGGGAUAAGCCUGGGAAACUGGGUCUAAUACCGGAUAUGACCUCAUGACUCAUGUUGUGGGGUGGAAAGCCUUGUGCGGCUAGGGAUGGGCCCGCGGCCUAUCAGCUUGUUGGUGGGGUAAUUGCCACCAAGGCGACGACGGGUAGCCGGCCUGAGAGGGCGACCGGCCACACUGGGACUGAGACACGGCCCAGACUCCUACGGGAGGCAGCAGGUGGGGAAUCUUGCGCAAUGGGCGAAAGCCUGACGCAGCGACGCCGCGUGAGGGAUGACGGCCU
Molecule: ribosomal RNA, 388 nt
Filed under: uncultured bacterium
Lineage: Bacteria
Description: bacterial SSU rRNA
Rfam family: Bacterial small subunit ribosomal RNA
Source: RNAcentral